GGGCCUAUAGCUCAGCUGGUUAGAGCGCACGCCUGAUAAGCGUGAGGUCGAUGGUUCGAGUCCAUUAGGCCCACCA
Molecule: transfer RNA, 76 nt
Filed under: Staphylococcus aureus
Lineage: Bacteria; Bacillati; Bacillota; Bacilli; Caryophanales; Staphylococcaceae
Also listed under: 1 other name
Description: tRNA-Ile
Rfam family: tRNA
About the family: Transfer RNA (tRNA) molecules are approximately 80 nucleotides in length. Their secondary structure includes four short double-helical elements and three loops (D, anti-codon, and T loops).
Source: RNAcentral